This 72-nucleotide small nucleolar RNA is filed under the name Stegodyphus dumicola. Lineage: Eukaryota; Metazoa; Arthropoda; Arachnida; Araneae; Eresidae. The record is from RNAcentral.
AUGCAGUGAUGAGUUCUUAGACUACAGAAAUUUCAUGUUGAAUAAUUUUUGAGCUUUUUAACUCUGAGCUAU